Molecule: long non-coding RNA, 650 nt
Organism: Spodoptera frugiperda (fall armyworm)
Lineage: Eukaryota; Metazoa; Arthropoda; Insecta; Lepidoptera; Noctuidae
Exons: 2
Source: RefSeq, a predicted model, not a curated record
UCUACUCUGUCUGGUACUGGGAGAUCUUGGACCAAUAUGUCUGGGGUAUCAAGAGCCCAGACCAGUGCAAUGGAACACCUUCUAGCAGGCUACAAGAAGGAGUGGCGAGACCUGGCUCACCACCAUCAGCUCACCAUCGCUGCAAACAGUCUCCUGACUUAUGACCCCUCAACUCUCCCCCCCCCCAACGGGGUGUAAGUGGCUCCCAUCAUGCUGAAGUCAACCUCACCUGCACGUGGUACACCCUGCACACCCACUAACGAGGCUCUGGCGUCCACACCCAUAUGAAGAUAUCUCUCAUUUGGGUGUAUACUUCUAUGCAUAAGACUUUUUUUUUAGAAUAUAAGUGUAAGACAGGGGCGGAUUCAAACGGGGGGAUUGGGAGAUGGCUUUUAAUCCCCCAAUCUCCCCCUCCCUUCUUCUUUUCGUUUUUGGGUCCGCGCCUGGCAUUUUAAAAAGUUUAUUAAAACUAAAACAUACAUCGUAACUGAUUUCUUGAUUUCUUUAAAGUUAAAAGCUUAUUAUCUAAUGAUAAAUCGGACAAUUAUAACAAGUAAUUCCAAUAUUAUAAUAAUAUUAUAUCAGUAGAGGAGUAGAUGUAGUUUGUAGAUGUUCAAUAAAGUAGUGAUUGUAGAGUAGAUGUAGUGAAA